UACAGAGGGGGCAAGCGUUGUUCGGAAUUACUGGGCGUAAAGGGCGCGUAGGCGGCCUGCUAAGUCGAACGUGAAAUCCCUGGGCUCAACCCAGGAACUGCGUCCGAUACUGGUUGGCUUGAAUCCGGGAGAGGGAUGUGGAAUUUCAGGUGUAGCGGUGAAAUGCGUAGAUAUCUGAAGGAACAUCAGUGGCGAAAGCGACUUCCUGGACCAAUACUGACGCUCAUGUGCGAAAGCGUGGGGAGCAAACAGG
This 253-nucleotide ribosomal RNA is filed under the name uncultured bacterium. RNAcentral's name for it is "partial 16S ribosomal RNA". It matches the Rfam family "Bacterial small subunit ribosomal RNA", at positions 524 to 776 of the family's 1533-position model. The record is from RNAcentral.